GUUCUGCCCCUGGAUUGCAUUUAGGAAAACGUUUGAUGAACUCAUUCUGGAGACAAGAGCACAAAUCUGGUUCCUGCCACCUUUUGCAGAUACAGCAGGUGCUUCUUGCUUCUCUUUUUGGAAGGCUCCAGCUUUUUCCUGAUUCUGAGUCUGGCAUUCCUUGCAGUCACAAGAGGGCUACCAAAAGCAGAGAAUGUGCUUCUAUGUUCAUAUUCAAGAUGACAGCACAGAGGCAUCUCCCCAGACAUAGACUGUUGGACCUAUCAUUCAGUUCUCCUGGUCUAAUUAAGUCAUUCCUAUCAUAAGGGAAUAUAAUGCACUGAAUGGUUUAGAACAAUAAGGGGCUACACUUGGAAGCAGAGCAUGAAGCCAACAUCCACUAGAAAGGACAGAGGUGAAACAGAAGCAAAGCUCUGGAAAGACAGAAGCAGCAGGAUGUGUGAUACAGGUGCUGAGGUACCUGCCAUUAGUGUCACUACAUCAAUGAGCCCAGAGAAGCCCAGAGGAGACUCAUGGUCAGCCCAUGGCUGGAUUAGGACAUUAGGGCAUCAGCUUUGGUCUUGAAAAGAUCUGGAUUCUAUUGCUGUUCUUCCACCUGCUAGCUGUAACAACUAGAGUAACAACUCAGCAUCUCAUUCUCAGCUUGAUCAUCUUUAAAACAGGGAAAAUAAUUACAAGUGUAUGGUAGGUUGUUUUUUUAACCAUUAUGGUACAUUUUUUGAUAAAAAAAAUAUGGUAUAAAAAAACAUAUGGUAUGUUUUUCGAUAAUACAAUGAUACAGAUAAUAGAUAAUGUACUUGAUACAUAACACACAAUCAAUGUAUGUUCUUCCUUCCUCGUGCCUUUCAUCCAUCCUGUCCCAGAAAAGGGGGAAAAAUUAAUUCUCAUAUAAAGUCAUAGUGAAGCUAUGAAGGUUCAGUGGCAAAAGUGGGUUAAAAAAACUGGGAGAGGAGGUCGUGCAGAGAGUGACGCUUUCACGUGACGCUGGUGAUACAGCAGCACAACUUAACAUUGAGGAACAGAAAGACAGGCAGGAUGUCUGGUGUGGAUGCAGAGGAUGUAUGUGGUUGAGGUGAGAGAUGUAGGGCAGAGCAGAAAUGUAUCUGGUCUGUUUAAGAACGGUCACCUUCCUGGACUCAGAAUCAGCCUUUCUUUUGAACGCUAAGGCCUCUUACCAUAUCAAGUUCACUGUGUCCUUUUCUUCAGCAGGAAUUCCCUUUCGGGAGGUUCCUCAAGGCUCAUGCAAAGAGGCUGCAUGUAGGCCAGCCCUGCCAGUUCACCCAAGUGCCCAGGCAUGCAUCAGUGCUACCUAGACUCACCCAAGAGGUCACUGUAGGAGCAGGAUGUGCUUAAGCAAAGGUAACAAAGACUGACUCAACAACGGCAUGCAAUGCGGUUUCUUUAGUGUCACUGCCAAUUAUGGAAACAGAAUCUGAUUUUGCUCGUUUCAACAAUUCUGAAAAAUAAAUAAUAAGGUCACACACUAAAGGAGAGCAGAAAACAUGGGGAGAAAACAGAAUUCUAAAGAUAACACUCUCAUGAAAUCCAGAGGGGUUGGGAAUCUUUUCUGUGUGAAGGGGGUUAAGGAAUGAAAGUAGAAAUGUAAUAUGGCCCUCAGGGUUUGCUUUUGGAACAGGCUGGAACAUUGUAAAUGUAUUUUGUGAAGCGGGGAAUGGGAGAAGUGCAACAUAGCAUAUUUGGGGAAAAGUAGGUAGCUCAAAAUUGCUGGAACAUAUGUUUUGCAUAGGGGCUUUCAGGAGAUGAGGCUGCAGACUCAUAGGCAUUAGGAAAUAAACAGGCUCUUCUCCCAUACUAAGAUGUUUGCCCUUUAUGCUGAAGGUGAAACAGAAUCUCAGGAUGUCUCUAAAGUAGGGACAUAUUAUUUAUAUUUUUGAAAGAUCAUUCUAGCUGCGUAGGAAAAAUAAAUUCAGUGACUACAGACAGAGAAUAGAUUUCUGUAAAGAUCUGAAUGAGAAGAAACAUCAUCCUGAAAAUAGGAAGAAAUAAGGAAUGGCAGGAAAUGAAGCUGGAGAAAUGGGAUGAGCAGAUAACAAAGGGACUCCUCUGCCAUCUUAAGUGACUUCUGUUUGAAAAGUCAGAAAAGCUUGAGGUUGGGAAAAACAGGCUGUGGUCAUGGUGAGCGUCAGUGAAUCCAUUGUUUGUGUAGACAUGUUCCUUGGUUCGGGUGUUGAAAGUGGAGCCCGGACUCCAUGUGGGUAUCUGCCUGAGACUCCGUUACCUGAAGCUGAGAAGACAAGAAAGAAAAGGGAUGUAUUGAGAGUUAAAUUUUUCUGAAAGGGAUGAUGGGUUUCUGUUUUGAAAGUCUGAUCUGACUGUGAGGAAAUCAGUAAUAAAAUUUCCAUAUUAUUCACAUUUCUGGCAUUUAUGUUGCUGAGCAUGAUUAUUUGCAUUUCAGUUCUGACACAUGAAAUUUCGUGGUAUUAUGGGCUGAACUGUGUUCUUCCAAAAUUCAUAUGUUAAUGUUCUAACCCCCAAUACCUCAGAUUGUUUAGAGAUAGGUAAGGCCUUCAAAAAAUAAUUAAGUUAAAAUGAGGCCAUUAGGGUGGGCCCUCAUUCAAUAUGAUUGUAUCUUUAUAAGAAGAGACAAUUAGGACACAGAUAUGCACAGAGACACCAUCACCAUCUGAGGACACUGGCAGAAGAAAGCCGAGGAGAGAAGCUUCAGAAAUCAACCCUCUACUGGCACCUUGAUCGCUUCCCUCCAGCCUCCGGAGUGGUGAGA
Molecule: long non-coding RNA, 2743 nt
Filed under: Homo sapiens (human)
Lineage: Eukaryota; Metazoa; Chordata; Mammalia; Primates; Hominidae
Description: HSALNT0144570
Source: RNAcentral